Molecule: ribosomal RNA, 92 nt
Filed under: Bdellovibrionales bacterium
Lineage: Bacteria; Pseudomonadati; Bdellovibrionota; Bdellovibrionia; Bdellovibrionales
Source: RNAcentral
CACCUGAUCCCAUCUCGAACUCAGAAGUUAAGCCCGCCCGCGGCAAACCUAGUACCGAGGAAGCUCGGCGCUAACCUAGCUCGAUGCCCCCA